RNAcentral lists this unclassified non-coding RNA (300 nucleotides) under uncultured Pleosporales. RNAcentral's name for it is "sequence contains 5.8S rRNA gene, ITS2". The stretch from base 1 to 82 matches the Rfam family "5.8S ribosomal RNA", at positions 72 to 154 of the family's 154-position model. The record is from RNAcentral. Lineage: Eukaryota; Fungi; Ascomycota; Dothideomycetes; Pleosporales.
AUAAGGGACAGGUGAAUCAUCGAAUCUUUGAACGCACAUUGCGCCCCUUGGUAUUCCAUGGGGCAUGCCUGUUCGAGCGUCAUUUGUACCUUCAAGCUUUGCUUGGUGUUGGGUGUUUGUCCUGCCUUUUGCGUAUGGACUCGCCUUAAAUCUAUUGGCAGCCGGCAAUCUGGUGUUUGAGCGCAGCACAUUUUGCGCUCUUUGCUGGUAUUGUGGCGUCCCAUGAAGCCUAUAUUCUAGCGCUUGACCUCGGAUCAGGUAGGGAUACCCGCUGAACUUAAGCAUAUCAAUAAGCGGAGG